CAACAGUGUGUGAUUUGACCUGAGAACAAAAAUGGCAUGUUGGAAUGUAUUUCUUUACCUCAGUACUGACUUAGGUUUACAGAUGAAGGCCUCUUCCUGCCACCAUCAGUUUUUAGUCUAUCUGUCUAUACUCAUCUACAUCUGGAGUGAAAUUAAUCCUCUUUCCUGCACUCAAUCCUAAAUGAUAUUUUUUUUUAAGAGAAAGUAUCUCACUGUGCACAGGCCAGGCUGGAGAGCAGUGAUGAGAUCAUAACUCACUGCAGCUUUGAACCUGGGCUCAAGCAAUCUCUCCCCCAACCUCAGCCUCCCAAGUUGCUAGG
Molecule: long non-coding RNA, 320 nt
Filed under: Homo sapiens (human)
Lineage: Eukaryota; Metazoa; Chordata; Mammalia; Primates; Hominidae
Description: non-protein coding lnc-RAB1A-10:1
Source: RNAcentral